UGGGGAAUUUUGGACAAUGGGCGCAAGCCUGAUCCAGCCAUGCCGCGUGAGUGAAGAAGGCCUUCGGGUUGUAAAGCUCUUUCAGUUGGGAAGAAACGAUUGCAACUAAUAAUUNGUAAUUAAUGACGGUACCGACAGAAGAAGCACCGGCUAACCACGUGCCAGCAGCCGCGGUAAUACGUAGGGUGCGAGCGUUAAUCGGAAUUACUGGGCGUAAAGGGUGCGCAGGCGGUUUUGUAAGUCAGAUGUGAAAUCCCCGGGCUUAACCUGGGAAUGGCGUUUGAAACUGCAAGGCUAGAGUGUAGCAGAGGGGAGUGGAAUUCCGCGUGUAGCAGUGAAAUGCGUAGAUAUGCGGAGGAACACCGAUGGCGAAGGCAGCUCCCUGGGCUAACACUGACGCUC
Molecule: ribosomal RNA, 402 nt
Filed under: uncultured bacterium
Lineage: Bacteria
Description: bacterial SSU rRNA
Rfam family: Bacterial small subunit ribosomal RNA
Source: RNAcentral